AGAGUUUGAUCAUGGCUCAGAAUCAACGCUGGCGGCGUGCCUAACACAUGCAAGUCGCACGAGAAAGGGUAGCAAUACCUGAGUACAGUGGCGCACGGGUGAGUAACACGUGAAUGAUCUACCUCCGAGUGGGGAAUAACUUAGGGAAACCUGAGCUAAUACCGCAUAACACUUACGAGUCAAAGCAGCAAUGCGCUUGGAGAGGAGUUCGCGGCAGAUUAGUUAGUUGGCGGGGUAAUGGCCCACCAAGACGAUGAUCUGUAUCCGGCCUGAGAGGGCGCACGGACACACUGGAACUGAAACACGGUCCAGACUCCUACGGGAGGCAGCAGUGGGGAAUUUUGCGCAAUGGGGGAAACCCUGACGCAGCAACGCCGCGUGGAGGAUGAAAUCCCUUGGGAUGUAAACUCCUUUCGAUCGGGACGAUUAUGACGGUACCGGAAGAAGAAGCCCCGGCUAACUUCGUGCCAGCAGCCGCGGUAAUACGAGGGGGGCGAGCGUUGUUCGGAAUUAUUGGGCGUAAAGGGUGCGUAGGCGGUUUGAUAAGUCUGAUGUGAAAUCUAUGGGCUCAACCCAUAGUCUGCAUUAGAAACUGUCGGGCUUGAGUAUGGGAGAGGUGAGUGGAAUUUCCGGUGUAGCGGUGAAAUGCGUAGAUAUCGGAAGGAACACCUGUGGCGAAAGCGGCUCACUGGACCAUUACUGACGCUGAUGCACGAAAGCUAGGGGAGCAAACAGGAUUAGAUACCCCCGUAGUCC
RNAcentral lists this ribosomal RNA (756 nucleotides) under uncultured bacterium. Its description in RNAcentral is "bacterial SSU rRNA". It matches the Rfam family "Bacterial small subunit ribosomal RNA", at positions 8 to 796 of the family's 1533-position model. The record is from RNAcentral.